This 206-nucleotide ribosomal RNA is filed under the name uncultured bacterium. RNAcentral describes it as "partial 16S ribosomal RNA". It matches the Rfam family "Bacterial small subunit ribosomal RNA", at positions 568 to 774 of the family's 1533-position model. The record is from RNAcentral.
UGCGUAGGUGGUCGGGUCAGUCUGAUGUGAAAUCUCCGAGCCUAACUCGGAAACUGCAUUGGAUACUACUUGGCUGGAGGGUUGGAGGGGGGACUGGAAUUCUCGGUGUAGCAGUGAAAUGCGUAGAUAUCGAGAGGAACACCAGUGGCGAAGGCGAGUCCCUGGACAACUCCUGACACUGAGGCACGAAAGCUAGGGAGCAAACA